CCUACGGGUGGCAGCAGUGGGGAAUAUUGGGCAAUGGACGCAAGUCUGACCCAGCAACGCCGCGUGAAGGAAGAAGGCUUUCGGGUUGUAAACUUCUUUUAAGGGGGAAGAGCAGAAGACGGUACCUCUUGAAUAAGCCACGGCUAACUACGUGCCAGCAGCCGCGGUAAUACGUAGGUGGCAAGUGUUGUCCGGAUUUACUGGGUGUAAAGGGCGUGCAGCCGGCGAGACAAGUCAGAUGUGAAAGCCACGGGCUCAACCCGUGAACUGCAUUUGAAACUGUUUCCCUUGAGUGUCGGAGAGGUAAGCGGAAUGCCUUGUGUAGCGGUGAAAUGCAUAGAUAUAAGGAAGAACACCGGUGGCGAAGGCAGAUUGCUAGACGAUAACUGACGGUGAGGCGCGAAAGCGUGGGGAGCGAACAGGAUUAGAUACCCGAGUAGUC
Molecule: ribosomal RNA, 442 nt
Filed under: uncultured bacterium
Lineage: Bacteria
Description: partial 16S ribosomal RNA
Rfam family: Bacterial small subunit ribosomal RNA
Source: RNAcentral